Molecule: ribosomal RNA, 268 nt
Filed under: uncultured bacterium
Lineage: Bacteria
Description: partial 16S ribosomal RNA
Rfam family: Bacterial small subunit ribosomal RNA
Source: RNAcentral
GUCUUGGCUGUAAACGGUGCGCAUUUGCUGUAAACGGAAUCGACCCCGUUUGUGGCGAAGCUAACGCGAUAAAUGCGCCGCCUGGGAAGUACGGUCGCAAGAUUAAAACUCAAAGAAAUUGACGGGGGGCCUGCACAAGCGGUGGAGUAUGUGGCUUAAUUCGAUGCAACGCGAAGAACCUUACCUGGCCUUGACAUGCAAGUGGUAGAACCAUGAAAGUGGGACGACCCCGCAAGGGGAGCUUGCACAGGUGCUGCAUGGCUGUCGU